AUUGAACGCUGGCGGCAGGCUUAACACAUGCAAGUCGAGCGGGGGAAGGUAGCUUGCUACCGGACCUAGCGGCGGACGGGUGAGUAAUGCUUAGGAAGCUGCCUAUUAGUGGGGGACAGCAUCUCGAUAGGGAUGCUAAUACUGCAUACGUCCUACGGGAGAAAGCAGGGGAUCGUCGGACCUUGCGAUAGUAGAUGAGCCCAGGUCGGAUUAGCUAGUUGGUGGGGUAAAGGCCUACCAAGGCGACGAUCGGUAGCGGGUCUGAGAGGAUGAUCCGCCACACUGGGACUGAGACACGGCCCAGACUCCUACGGGAGGCAGCAGUGGGGAAUAUUGGACAAUGGGGGGAACCCUGAUCCAGCCAUGCCGCGUGUGUGAAGAAGGCCUUAUGGUUGUAAAGCACUUUAAGCGAGGAGGAGGCUACUUUAGUUAAUACCUAGAGAUAGUGGACGUUACCCGCAGAAUAAGCACCGGCUAACUCUGUGCCAGCCGCCGCCGUAA
RNAcentral lists this ribosomal RNA (501 nucleotides) under uncultured bacterium. Its description in RNAcentral is "partial 16S ribosomal RNA". It matches the Rfam family "Bacterial small subunit ribosomal RNA", at positions 30 to 523 of the family's 1533-position model. The record is from RNAcentral.